AUCUAGACAUGGAUGGGUGCAUGCAUGGAUAGAUGGAUAGAGAUGUCUAGGGAUGGAUUGAUGGAUGGAUGGGUGGACAGAAGUAUCUAGAGAUGGAUGGUGCAGGCAUUGAUGAAUCAAUGGAGGUUCUAGGAAUUGAUGGAUGGAUGGUUUGUGGUCAUUGAUGAAUGGAGGGGUGAAUGGGGAUGGGCAGAUGGAUGGAUGCAUCUAGAGAUGGAUGAAUGGAAGGAGGGAUGUGUCUAGGGAUGGAAUGAUGGAUCGUUUGUUGUCACAGAUGGAUGGAUGUAUCCAGAGAUAGAUGAGUGAAGGGAUGGAAGGAUGGGUAGAGAAGGCGGGUUGGUGUUGAUCGCACAAUCCGAGCUCUCUCUGUCUCAGUGGCUGAGUCGGAGCUGAUGUCUCUUUCUCUCUGCUCAACAGAGGUGAUCGUGUCAGGUGAGUUUUGCAGUGAGGAUGGAGACGAGGACUUAGACGGUCUCUGGGCCACCAUCUCGGUCUUCAUCACCCUUUUCCUCUUGAGCGUGUGCUACAGCGCCACCGUGACCCUGUUCAAGGUGAAGUGGCUUUUCUCCACCGUGGUGCAGCUGAAGCGCACGAGGGGGCCUGAGUACAAGAACGUGAUCCAGCGCGUGGUGUAGGAGCUGCUGCCCUCAUCCGCCCGGAGACAAGGGGCCAGGACUCCCGGCUCCAUUGGCGACACCGCCCUGAGUCCCACAGCUGCCCCGCACCAGCGCUGUGCCCCGGGAGAGCCCCUGAGGGGAGCAAGGAGCUCACCCCACAUGGCCUAAUCAGCCCUCAGCCACUGGGGACGCUGCCCUGCUCGGAGCUGGGCUAAGGCUGGACCACUCGUAUCAUGCAGGGAACCAGUGCCCCUAUCGAGGAAACAAUCCCUCUCCCCCUUCCCACCGUCCUGAGCCCAACAGUCCCUGCUCUGGGCUGGAUCAGAGCCAGCGCCCCCUAGAGGGAAAGGCCACAUGUCCCAUUCCCCCACCCUGGGGCUAGAUUGGAGCUGGUGCCCCCUAGUGGGUAAGGGCCCUGUGCCCCAUUCCCUGUCCCCCUGAGCCAGCCAGCCCCCCACUGGGGCCGGAUCACAAAUGGCUUUGUCUCUGUUGCUCUGAAUGUUGCGCAUUUAGCUCCCGGCUGU
This is a non-coding RNA of Mauremys reevesii (Reeves's turtle), 1141 nucleotides long. Lineage: Eukaryota; Metazoa; Chordata; Testudines; Geoemydidae. The record is from the annotation of a RefSeq genome assembly.